Brachypodium distachyon (stiff brome) is the source of this 982-nucleotide long non-coding RNA. RefSeq lists it as uncharacterized. Lineage: Eukaryota; Viridiplantae; Streptophyta; Magnoliopsida; Poales; Poaceae. The transcript is spliced from 3 exons. The record is from RefSeq and is a predicted model, not a curated record.
GGAGAGGAAAGCACUGACAUGUGUGGUACGCAUGUCAGUGAGAGGAGGAAAAGACAAGGGAGAGCUGGGCUGAUGCUGUGCUGGCCGAACUGGGCCGGUUGGGCUGGGUUGGCCCAACUGAGAGAGCUUUGUAACGGGAAAACAAAGCUUCCAUAAAAAUUCAGAGUCUUUGAAGGACACUCAUCUUGAGUUGCAAGUGUGGAGUUGAUUUCAAGCGUUUUAAACCGAGGUUUUAAAUUCCCCUCAUUUUCAGGUUUCAGCAUAAUGCGAUGCGAUGCUCAUGAUGCACAUUACAACUCCUAUUAACUAGUAGCUAAACUGGGGAUGUUACAGCUGUGUACAUCUUACUCCCUCUUUUUCACAAAGAAUGGCGUUCACGUUUUUCUAGAUCAAACUUUGACCAACGAUUAAACAAAAGUACGUAGAUUAUAUGUUACAAAUUUUAUAUCGUUGGAAAGGUUUUUGAAAUACGAAUCCAAUGAUAUAAUUUUUAUAGCAAAUAACCCUCAAAUAAUUAGUUUAAUUGUCGGUCAAAAUAAAAUCUUGAAAUGCGUGCGUGCCAUUUUUUGUGAAAUGGAGGGAGUAUUAUGUAGAGGCUGUGGUUUAUUCUUGUGAUGUAUCAUCUUGAUAUGACAGCAAGUUUAAUAAAGCUCCAUUUUCAGAAGAAAAAAAAGAGUCAUGGGAGUACUCUAAAAUUGCAACUUGCACAAGUGACAAGGGAAAACCACAUGGGAAUAAUUGAUGGUUUGUGCGCAUCUUCAGCGACCAAUGGACAAGGAGGUGGUGUUCCCUGGCAGGUGGACCAGGUGGCCACGGAUGUGUUUACCCUUCAUGGAUGGCGGCAUAGUCUCAGAAUUGGCGCUUGACUACUUUGAGAGUUUUGGUGUUACACCUUCCUUUUAAUCUUAUGUUUGCUACAGUUUGGUUGGGCUGCGUGCAUAUUGUUCUGUAGUGGCUUGGGUUUAUUCUUGUGAUGUAUGAG